CGAAUUAAAGUAUUGAAUCACUACAUAAUUAAAAACACCACAUAAGUCUUGAAAUUAACACAUAAUUGAAAUGUAAGUAUUUAAUAUUCUUCAUUUGUAUCCAUUUCUUCUCUCCUAAAGAUCUCCAUUUGCAUUAUACCUACAAAAAAUAUGUGAAGAAAAUGAGCAUAUAAUAUAAAUAUAUGCAUUUAAAAAAAUAAAAAAAUAUAAACAAAUGAAUAGAUUGUAAGUUAACAAGAAUAAGAUAGUAAGCAUACCUUUCAACUCACGAAACAUCACGAAUUUAGGGUAGGCUCUGAUGCAUUCCAAGAAAAGUCUAAACAUUGAAUCGAUUAAAUAAGUAGGAGUGAUAUGGUAAAAAAAUUGAAACUAUUAAAAUAAAACAAUAAAUAUACCAUUUUCAAUCUUGUCAAGUUAUUGAAUUUGUUCUUCAAUCUUUUUGAUGUCUUCUUAUAAUAAUGAUUUUCGAAUCCAAUCUUGAGUAUACACAAGAGCUUGUACAAUUUUAGGAGUUAAAAACUCCUAUAUUGAUCAAGCACACGUCCCUCGGUGUUAAAUGCAGACUCUGAAGCAACUGUAGAAACUGAGAUAGCCAACACAUCUCUUGACAUUUUUGAAAGAUUGGGAAAUCUAGGGCUAUUCACUUUCCACCACAAUAAAAUAUCAAAAUCUUCAACAAAAGCCUUAUUAGCCUCAGCUAGAUAUUUAUCCAAUUCAGAUGUUUUAUCCUCACCACCAUUUUUGAACUCACACUUUUUAUACAAAGCUUGCAUUUGCAUUUGUCUUUUCAUUUUUUGUUGUGGUUCACUGAGAGAAACAUGUGUUGGCACACUCGAUCGGUUACAAGUACUAUGGAGUGGAGGCUUAUACUCAUCAAACAAUUCAUACAAAAAUUCCUUCAAUUUUUGCAUUAUUUCACAAGGUUUUUCAGAACUAGACAUUUCACUAAGUGCAAAUUCAAGAUACUUUAGUUUUUGUCUAGGAUCUAAAACACAACCAACAAACAUAAGCAAAUUCAUCUUAUUAAUAUCACCGCAAUACUUAUCAUCCUUCUUUUUCAUCUUGAUGGCCAUAACAUUGAAAUCAACAUUAAUAUUGAACUGAGCAUCUUGUAAAAGAAUAUCAAUUUCAGAAAGCUCGUCAAAAAAAUCAUUGGACGUGACAUAUGAAGUGCCAAAUAUAUGCAAAGUGACUUCAUAAAAGUAUUCCAAGAAAUCCUUCAAGUUUCUAACACUAGCCCAAUCAUCCACACUAGGCCAACCCUCUCCCCUUUCAAGUUUAGCCCUAAAGUUUGUAUCUUGCUCUUCAAAUCCCUCAAAAGCUCUCUCAAGUAGGUCGAGUUCCACCUAGUACAGACAUCAAGACACAAUAUCUUCUUGCACUAUCUUUUCCACCACAACACACUCCUUAAACUUUUGUAACCUAGCUGGAGAUUGUCUCACAUAUCUAACAGCCCCCCUAAUACGUUCAACAGAUUUAUUCAUUUCAUUUAAGCCUUUAACAGCAAUCAAAUUCACAAUGUGUGCCAUGCAUCUCAUAUGAAGAUAUCAUGCAUCUCAUAUGAAAAUAUUUACCAUUUUGAACUAAACCCCCUCGAGGGUUAAAUUUCUUACUCAAAUAACCAAUAGCAACAUUAUUUGAACUUGCAUUAUCAACAGAAACAGUAAACAACUUAUCAAUCACCCAAUUCAACAAACAUUUCUCAAUCACCAUCCCAAUGGACUCACCCUUAUGACUAGAAAUUGGACAAAAGUUUAAAAUCUUUUUAUUCAAUUUCUAAUCAUUAUCAAUAAAGUAAGCAGUGAUACACAAAUAAUUAACUCUUUACAAAGAAGUCCAUGUUUCAGUAGUUAAGGAAACUCUAGAACAAGAACUUCUCAAAAGUUAUUUUAUCUUGACCCUUUCAUCUAAAUAAAAAUGAUAAACAUCCCUAGCCAUAGUAGUUCAUGAAGGAAUAUGAAACCUAGGACAUGCCACGAACAUAAAUUUCUUAAAAUCUUCACUUUCAACAAACUUGAAAGAUGCCCUUUCUUACAUGUUUCUUGAUCAAAUCUUCAAGUUGAAAGAUGCCCUUCCCUCCCCCCCCUUCAGCUCCCUUUCUAGGUAAAACUAGUUGUUCUUGCCUAGUGUCAACAACAUUAGUAGGAUUUUUUUUACAUGAACCAAUAUGAUAUUUCAAUAACCAUGUACCAAUUUUUCUAUAUCACAACAAAAUUCCUUUUGUCAAUAAUUAUAUUUAGCCUUACUUGCACCCUCACUAUUAAUAAUCUUAGUGAAGCGAGACUAAACUUCCGAAUUUUGAGGGGUGGCUUUUCUUUUUCCAGUAGUCCUUUUUGAUUGGCUUGAAGCUCCAACUCCCGAAUUUUCAGAAUCUAUUGAAGUGGGAGGUGUAACACUACCCUCAAUAGAUGUUGGUUCGGUGGACAUUUUGCAAGAAAAAAAAUUAUAUAAUAAAUUAAAAUAAAUUUAUAAUAUUAAACAUAUUUUGAUGUUGAGUUUUAGAGAAAUAAAAUACUGUUUGUCUUUUGAUGUUGAGUUCAACAUAUACUAUUACAUAUUUUGUUUGGCUUAUUUUCCUUCAUUUAAUUUGGCUUAUUUAUGCAUAAAAUCAUACAUAAAUAAAUUUUAAUUGGAUUAAUACCAUUUAUAGACGAGUGUUAAAUUUAUGUGAGUGAGAAAAAAAGUCUCUUUAAAAUCACAUUCAAAUGAUAUAUAAAAAAUCAUCUAUUAUAUAUAAAAAAAUCCAUUAAAAUCACAUUAAAAUUAUAGACAAGUGUUAAGAAAGUAUGUUCAUCUAUUAUAUAUAAAAAAGAAGAAGAAUAUAACAGUAAAAUAAAAUAGAAAAAGGAGACAUUUCAAAUUUAAUAUGAUUAUGGGAUAUGCAAGUAUAGAUUAUAAUAUACUUUUGAUUAAAAAUAAUUAAAUAUACUAUUUUAAUGAAAAUCAUAAUAAAUUUAAUAUGAUUAUGGGAUAUGCAAGUAUACUAUAAAUCUAUACUUUCAUAUCCUAUAAUCAUAUUAAAUUUGAAAUGUCUCAUUUUUUCUAUUUUAUUUUAUUGUUAUAUUCUUUUUCUUUUAUAAAAAUAUUGUUAAGUUAUAUCGAAUUGGUGUCGAUUUAAUUGUUAAUUUAAUUGUCGAUGUAAUCUUUUUACAGUUAUGGUGUCAAUUUAAUUAUCAAAUUGAAGAGUGAAUGUUAUGGUGUUUUUUCAUUCAAAUCUCCUUAAGAUUUCAUAAAUAAUAAAUUAUAAAACCAAAACCAAAACCAAAACCAAAACAAAAGCAAUAGCAAUAUUAACCAAAACCAAAAUCAAAACCAAAACAAAAGCAAUAGCAAUAUUAAGUUGUUAACCUACAAAAUAGACAAGAGCACAAAGCCCAAUCCAAAAUAAACCAAAAAAUAUAAACCAACCCAAAAACAAAACAAAAUUCAUAAAGCGGAAACAAUUAAACUAAGAACAAAAAACAUGAAACACCAAAAGCAGUAGUAGUGCUUGAAGAACAAAUCAUCAUAAACCAGAUUUUAUGAUGAACAAGAAACAAAGAAACAAAUUAAUCAGAUUCAUCAUAAACUAGAUUCAUAAACCACAUGUCUUCUUAAAGAACAAAUCAUCAUAAACUAAUGUCCAAACUAAUAUCUUCUUGUUGAUUUAUCAUAAACUAAUUUUUCGAAAAUUAUCAUCACAAGAAGAUUGAAGAACAAAAAACAUGAAACACCAAAAGCAGUAGCAGUGCUUGAAGAACGAAUCAUCAUAAACCAGAUUUAUGAUGAAGAAGAAACAAGAAAUAAAUUAACCAGAUUCAUCAUAAACCAGAUGUCUUCUUAAAGAACAAAUUAACCAGAUGUCUUCUUGAAGAAUAAAUCAUCAUAAACCAAAUUCAUAAAGGGUCUUAGUGCUACUAUAGCACUCCUCCUCCAGUCAGCAAAUUAACUGGCAGUCACUCAUUAGAAAAUAUCCCACCCUCGAAACUUGUCGAUACCAGUUCCUAAAACCAACAGCCUUCUAUAAACCAUUCCAUUUACUAUUUUUUCUUCUCCCCAAACCCUAUCUCAUCUUCUACUGUCAAUCCAGUUCCCUUCUUUUCCAUCGUCAUAAUCCAUCAUCAACAACCACCGGCACACUUCCACUCAGGUAACUCUCCCUUUCAUUUUUUAGGCAAUCAAUAGCUAAAUUAUGUGCUAAGAUAUUAGUAGAUCUUUUUAUUGGGUCAAAAUAACAGAGUAGCCGAGGAGAUAUGUUUUUCUUAAGCAGACCUACAAACUUGACAACAACUACAGCAUGAGAGGAAAAGCCUACCUUAACUCACCGGUGAUGGUGACCUGGUAGACACCGAAGGUGUGCCUGGUGGACGCCGGACUGUUCAGAAGGUGACUGGUAGUGACAAUAGAGAGAUUUUGGGAGAUUUGAAAUUAGAGAUUUUGAAUUUUGA
RNAcentral lists this long non-coding RNA (4427 nucleotides) under Gossypium barbadense (sea-island cotton). RNAcentral's name for it is "long non-coding RNA (GBAR_LNC007892)". The record is from RNAcentral. Lineage: Eukaryota; Viridiplantae; Streptophyta; Magnoliopsida; Malvales; Malvaceae.